This is a non-coding RNA of Malus domestica (apple), 431 nucleotides long. NCBI's taxonomy places the organism in Eukaryota, Viridiplantae, Streptophyta, Magnoliopsida, Rosales, Rosaceae. The record is from RefSeq and is a predicted model, not a curated record.
UCUGUUCCCAUGGCUUCUUCUUCAUGUCUAUAGGCACAACCAGUCUCGGUCCAUAAAAUGCCAUUACUCGGCGAGUCUUUGAGUUUCGAUGUUUUGAUCUCUACUGAAUGCAAUUGGGAAAGUCAAGAUGUUGGUGCGCUCUUGAAUUUUCGGGUUUGGACGGGAAUUGGCUAACUCAAGUUGCCUUCUCCUUCUUAGAGGACCCUACAAAUUGGAAUCUUAAGGAUAUUGCUGCUAUUUUGUGUAUGAUGAAUUGAACUUUGGGUUGUUCGUAUAGAGAAAUUGUUGCUCUCUUUGAUUUUUCUGGCUGGUCCCAACAGCUGUUUUGUAGGGUUUUUUUAAUAAUUUGAUUGGGAAUUUGGAUUAUGAUGUGUAGACUACUGAGAAUUGGGAUUACUGACAUGAUUAAUUAGACUAAGAAUCUUAUCUUA